This is a long non-coding RNA of Triticum aestivum (bread wheat), 1346 nucleotides long. RefSeq lists it as uncharacterized. The record is from RefSeq and is a predicted model, not a curated record. The transcript is spliced from 5 exons. NCBI's taxonomy places the organism in Eukaryota, Viridiplantae, Streptophyta, Magnoliopsida, Poales, Poaceae.
UGCCGCACACAAGCGGCGACUCUCCUUGGUCAGAGGUGGCGUGGCGGCGUGGAGAGGCUGCGAAUCAAUCCUCUCUCUGUGGAACGGCGGUGGCGGACGACAGAUCCUCGGCGGUAGCGGGGAAUCAGGUAACGGCGCCCCUCUCCCCUUCUCAGUCCUCCCACUGGGACGGCGCCCAACGGCGGCUGGUCGAUGGACUGACCGCCUGGAACUUGGUGAACUCCCGUGGAACUCCGGAUUGACAUUGGCGCUGAUUCACCCUCGGGUGUGUCGUGCUCGGCGGUGACCAUGCAAUAUUGUGUAGCAGCGGCGGCGCAAGAGCGCGGGUGCCGGAGAGGGCGCCGUAUUUCUGGCGAAGGUAGGCAUGUAGCACUGGAUUCAGACAACAGCCAUAGCAGCCUUCAUACCUCACAUGUCUACAUCCAAACGGAGUGUAAUGUUGCAUGAUAGCGCUCACCCAAUGCAUCUCUGGAUGCUGGUUUGAGCAGACGUGGGGAACAUAUUGGUUUGAUUGUUACAGUUCCAGCUUAGGAGUGAAGAAAUCAAACUGCCGUCGCAUUCUAUUGUUAAACGUUUGAUGAGUAGAGCUUCUUAUGGUCCCAAGCUUGCAAAAAAAAAUUAGAACCUCCUUUGUGAUAUUGGUCUGGUGUGGUUCUGUAAUUUCACAAACUACUAACUGAUGCGUUUGUGUGCCAGCUUCCACUUGUGUUCUAAGCAGACCAGAUCAAUCAAGAGAUGAAGAGCAGAGGCACGUCGGUUCGCAGAGCACUUGUUCAUCCUGGACAGUAUCACAAAAAGAAGAGAGCAAUUCCACCCGGAGCUGCACAACAGCUUCUUGUGUGAACCCGGUCAUGAGAAGAAAUUUAUUUGACAACAAAAUAAAUAUGCUUGAUAUGUUGCUGGUUGACCAUACAAGCACUAACAUUUGGAGAUCGUCUUCAAUGUCAGAAUGUCGAGUCUGUUAUUCAUAUAAAGAGAGAAUAAAUGAAUAAGUGUUGCUGCUGUUUAUCUUGGAUCAUGCUUGCAGCAGACAAGCACUGCAUUUGUUUGGUCAUCUGGACAUGACGACAAUAUCAAGCUCUUUGUUUGGACAUCACACAUGAGGGCGGCGCCGCGCUCACCGCACCUUUGUAUGCAAGGGCCAGAAUAAUGGGAUUUUCUUAUGAUUGCAACUGCAACAGAGGCCUUGUUUUAGAAGGAAAAAAUGGUUCAGGGAUAUUGCAACAAGGCUCCUGUUGCUGAGGGCCGAGCGCAAUACUAGCCUUGUUGCCGGCUAGCUCAUAUGGGAGAGAUCAGACGGCUAUCAGGCGGUCGAUCUUUUAACACUAUCACCCCGCGACCGCAUA